This 298-nucleotide long non-coding RNA is filed under the name Populus tremula. RNAcentral describes it as "long non-coding RNA (PTRE_LNC001370)". Lineage: Eukaryota; Viridiplantae; Streptophyta; Magnoliopsida; Malpighiales; Salicaceae. The record is from RNAcentral.
UGACUUUUGAAGUUUCAGAACAUCCACAUUAGGCUUGCUCUUGAGCACAUCCCGGAGCAUGCUGAAAAGCUUUUCCUGUAUAAUGAUCAAAUGGAAUGCUGUAGAGAUUCAAGGAAUGAUCCAGGAGUACAGAUGAAGUUUACCAAUAACUUUAAAGGUUGGAUUUCAUUGCUAGCACAAGCACAUGUGGGCAAGUCAAUGCAUAAUUUGUUGUUGCUAAUCCUAAAUUGCAAAAGAAAAAAAAAAUCUGACAUUAAGAACUAUAACCAUUAUGAAUAGAUUGAAAUGACAAAUGAAU